AAGAGGAUAUCUUUACGUCGUUAAACGAGAAAACGCCUCAUAUCGACCAUUAAAAUUAUAAAUUUUAAAAUUCUUUGAUCAUUAGGCAAAUGAUGUAAAAAUGAUUUGAAAUUUGAUUUCUAAACACUUCAAAUGAUAUAGAUCAUGUUCAACAGUGCCGAUCGUCGAUUUAAAAGUUCCAUCAUCGAAAACAAAUGGGUGGCAACGAAGCCCGUUUGCUAUCGAUAGUAUUCUAGCUCAACUUUAUCUAUAUAUAUAUAUAUAGAGAGAGAGAGAGAGAGAGAGAGUCCGGCUAUGGUACUUGUAAAUUUUUUACCGUUAGAUCUACACUUUUGAUGAUUUUCACUCGUUAGAUUAUACUAUUCAACCAAUCCCCCACUCAACCCUAGGGGACCCACAUCAUACUAACAGCACAUUUUUUUAAUCUAAUGGCCAAAAAUCUGUAAACACUAAUAACUUGGUACUUUUAACUAACAAUGUAUCCGCGUUUUACAGCAGGUGUGAUUUUUAAGUUUAUAAUUACUAUAUACAUUAUGCAAAGUCAUCGAUCUAAUAAAAUCAAAUAUAAGUGCUAAAUUUUAUAAAAGCAUUCAAUAUAUAUGUGUGUAUUCUUCGGAGCAAAAUAGUUAAAUUCAUAAAAGUUAUUCGUUCUCUUUGUAGGAUCAUUGUAAUAUUUGAUAUUAAAAUAGACCAUUUUAGUUGUAAUAAAAUAUCGCAUCUAAAUAAUCUAUCUAACCAAAUUAUGAUCUAUUCACAUUUCUUUCCCGGUAGUUAUGCUUUGCACUUCUAAAUCUUAAUUAUUGGUAUUCAAUUACUUUUUUUUUUUUUUGAGAGAUAGGUAGCACGCUACCCGCUUUGUUUAUUUCAUUUAGAAAUAAACUUAGCUGGAAAUGUGAAUCAACCAGGAUUCGAACUUGGAACCUCGGAUAUCAACCACUAAGCCCUUUGCCACUUGCUCUAGAGACAGUCGGUGUAUUCAAGUACAUAUUAAAACACAAAACUUUU
Molecule: long non-coding RNA, 1005 nt
Filed under: Ananas comosus (pineapple)
Lineage: Eukaryota; Viridiplantae; Streptophyta; Magnoliopsida; Poales; Bromeliaceae
Description: long non-coding RNA (ACOM_LNC010616)
Source: RNAcentral